Molecule: long non-coding RNA, 488 nt
Filed under: Gigantopelta aegis
Lineage: Eukaryota; Metazoa; Mollusca; Gastropoda; Neomphalida; Peltospiridae
Description: uncharacterized LOC121389387
Source: RNAcentral
GGACGUCAUUUUUUAAACUGGGGGGAGUAUGUAACGGGGUAAAAAUAUAUAACACUGUAUGUAUAUAUGUUUUAUUUUAUUUGCUACUUAUUUUAUAAUAUUUUAUUAAUGGGUUAUUUCGUUUGUUUUUAGGAUAUUCGUCGUAGAGAAUACCCUAUUAGACAACGCCCUAACCUUUCUUUCCAGUCAAAUUGGAGUUUAGCCAAUGAUAUUUUAUUCUGGUGUCAUGUGACAUUGGUCACGGCUAGUCCGUGCCACAUUCACAUUGAACAGCAAGCCAUCAACACACGACAUAAUUCUCAACUAUUUCUUGAUUAUUUUUUCAUCUUUUCUGCGACGGUUACACAGGAUGAGGAAUUGUCAUUAAUACUCGGCAACCAGUUCGGUCCAUAGCCCACAGCCAAGGACCUUUAUUUGACGGUUGCCAAAUAAACCGAAUCCUACCCAGCAUUGUUGUCUUUCUGAUUUGAGGGAUUUAACCCAAAUGC